RNAcentral lists this ribosomal RNA (947 nucleotides) under Microbacterium foliorum. RNAcentral's name for it is "bacterial SSU rRNA". It matches the Rfam family "Bacterial small subunit ribosomal RNA", at positions 80 to 1038 of the family's 1533-position model. The record is from RNAcentral. Lineage: Bacteria; Bacillati; Actinomycetota; Actinomycetes; Micrococcales; Microbacteriaceae.
UGCUCUGUGGGAUCAGUGGCGAACGGGUGAGUAACACGUGAGCAACCUGCCCCUGACUCUGGGAUAAGCGCUGGAAACGGCGUCUAAUACUGGAUACGAGUAGCGACCGCAUGGUCAGUUACUGGAAAGAUUUAUUGGUUGGGGAUGGGCUCGCGGCCUAUCAGCUUGUUGGUGAGGUAAUGGCUCACCAAGGCGUCGACGGGUAGCCGGCCUGAGAGGGUGACCGGCCACACUGGGACUGAGACACGGCCCAGACUCCUACGGGAGGCAGCAGUGGGGAAUAUUGCACAAUGGGCGCAAGCCUGAUGCAGCAACGCCGCGUGAGGGAUGACGGCCUUCGGGUUGUAAACCUCUUUUAGCAGGGAAGAAGCGAAAGUGACGGUACCUGCAGAAAAAGCGCCGGCUAACUACGUGCCAGCAGCCGCGGUAAUACGUAGGGCGCAAGCGUUAUCCGGAAUUAUUGGGCGUAAAGAGCUCGUAGGCGGUUUGUCGCGUCUGCUGUGAAAUCCGGAGGCUCAACCUCCGGCCUGCAGUGGGUACGGGCAGACUAGAGUGCGGUAGGGGAGAUUGGAAUUCCUGGUGUAGCGGUGGAAUGCGCAGAUAUCAGGAGGAACACCGAUGGCGAAGGCAGAUCUCUGGGCCGUAACUGACGCUGAGGAGCGAAAGGGUGGGGAGCAAACAGGCUUAGAUACCCUGGUAGUCCACCCCGUAAACGUUGGGAACUAGUUGUGGGGUCCAUUCCACGGAUUCCGUGACGCAGCUAACGCAUUAAGUUCCCCGCCUGGGGGAGUACGGCCGCAAGGCUAAAACUCAAAGGAAUUGACGGGGACCCGCACAAGCGGCGGAGCAUGCGGAUUAAUUCGAUGCAACGCGAAGAACCUUACCAAGGCUUGACAUAUACGAGAACGGGCCAGAAAUGGUCAACUCUUUGGACACUCGUAAACAGG